Molecule: unclassified non-coding RNA, 358 nt
Filed under: soil metagenome
Description: partial contains 5.8S ribosomal RNA, internal transcribed spacer 2, and large subunit ribosomal RNA
Rfam family: 5.8S ribosomal RNA (bases 1-120)
Source: RNAcentral
GAUGAAGAACGUAGCGAAAUGCGAUAAGUAAUGUGAAUUGCAGAAUUCAGUGAAUCAUCGAAUCUUUGAACGCACAUUGCGCCCGUCAGUAUUCUGGCGGGCAUGCCUGUUCGAGCGUCAUUACGCCCCUCAAGUCCCCUGUGGACUUGGUGUUGGGGAUCGGCGAGGCUGGUUUUCCAGCACAGCCGUCCCUUAAAUUAAUUGGCGGUCUCGCCGUGGCCCUCCUCUGCGCAGUAGUAAAACACUCGCAACAGGAGCCCGGCGCGGUCCACUGCCGUAAAACCCCCCAACUUUUUAUAGUUGACCUCGAAUCAGGUAGGACUUCCCGCUGAACUUAAGCAUAUCAAUAAGCGGAGGA